CUGGCGAGGAAUUUGCUGCGAAGCCCAGACUUACUAGGUCAUCUGGCAGAAGGCUUAAUCCUUACUCGGAUGAGUUAAAAGGCCCAUUCUCGGACGGAAGAGGGAACCUAUGCAAGGAUAAGGAAGAAUCUUCUUUUGAUGGUAUACCGCAUUUUGAGUAUUUUCCCUACCAUGUUUUGGCAAAGUACAACACAAAAUCGUCAAUAUGACUUACCUAUGUAUCCUCGAACGAAGGCGUACAUAACCAAAAGCGUCGCGUAACAGGUAACGCACGGCCGCCGCCCUAACGACCACUUGUCGCUGGAUGAGACAAUGAACUGCUGCAGGUAUCGGGAGAAGAUCCAUCAAAGUCUAAUACUCCAGCAACCGAGAAGAGUGCCUUUGUCAUCAGUGUCAUCUAUAAUAUAAAAAAUGAAUCGCAGAAUGUGUAGGUAAGCGCAUAACUAUACAAAGCCUGAACCAAUUGUA
Long non-coding RNA from Pieris brassicae (large cabbage white), 468 nucleotides. RefSeq lists it as uncharacterized. NCBI's taxonomy places the organism in Eukaryota, Metazoa, Arthropoda, Insecta, Lepidoptera, Pieridae. The transcript is spliced from 4 exons. The record is from RefSeq and is a predicted model, not a curated record.